GGCAAUUCAGCGACCCUCUCGCUGAGGCCCUGGAAGCUUCUGGCAGCCACUAGAUUCUCAGAGGUGGUCACUCACAGACGCCUGAGCUCUACCAUGUCGGCCCAACCGCCCUUGUGCUGACCUUCGGCCUCCUCACUCCCUCUCCGCAUGACCCUCUGAGGACCUUCUCUUCCCUGCAGGGCCCACAUUGACACCACCCAUGUCCCCACUAGGACGUGAAAGCCAUGGGCAUGGGGCCUGGCCGGGCUUAUUAGCUGCUGGGUCCCCAGCACCCAUGAAGGAAUGAGUGAAGGAAUGAAGGAGAGAAUGAGUGAAUGAGCGAACGAGUACAUUAGCUGCGCAAACACCAGCCCCUUCUAGAGCGCGGUUCUCACUGUCGCGACCCCACGAGUGACCCAGGAGCGUGUAGAAGGCAAAGGCCUGGGCCUCUCUCGCUCCUAGUUCUGACCGGGAGUCUGGGCAGGGUCCAGGCAUCUGCGUUAUGGACCAGGCCUUCCAGAGGCUUCCGACCUGAGUCAGGUGAGGUCCCCUCUGGUAGAAAGACGCUCUUCCAGGACAGCAGAGCGCGGAGCUGGAAGCCGUGUCCCUCUCGCCCCCUCCAGCCUGGGCUCCUGACAAACUGCUCAGACUGCAAUGCAGGAGCCAUUUCCCACUCUGCUCCCCUCUCUCUGCGCCACUCAGGGAUCCCGAGAGGACCCAGAUGAGGAUGCGGCUCCAGCUGUCUUCCUUCUGCAAACCCCUGAGGAUUCCUCUCCAGGGAGGAUUUUGAGUGGGGCAUGAGGAAUAUGCGUGUCUUCCAGGGAGAGGCUGUCUGAGACCACAAGCAGGGAGGGAGAUCCGUGUUCAGAGAGGCUGUUUGUCACCAGUGGGGGUCGGCGUGGUCAGGACGGGCCGGCGGAGGACCUGCAGGACUGGACAGAGCGGACGGGUGUGGACAGCUCUCCUCCCCUCUGCUCAGGGUGCAUCGUAGUGCAGGCCGGCGUCCCGGGUGUGCUGCUCUCGCCUGUGGCCGGAGGGGGUGGGUUUGUGGGCCUGGAGGAGCUGGCGGGAGGCCCCAGUCUGGGUGGGACGAGCCCGGCAGGGCAAGACCAGAGUGGGUGGAGUUGGGGACUGGAGGGCUCCCUGCAUCCAGCCCUCUGCGUGCUCUCUGCCGGCAUCGGGGUGCACAAGCCCACCAGCUCCCCAGACACACAGGAGCACGCAUGUACACACUCAGACACACACACAGACACACAGGAGCAUGCAUAUACACACACAGGCACACAUACAGACACACAGGAGCACAUGCACACAACCAUACACACAGGAGCACGUGUGUGCAUGUACACACACACACUACAAAGACGCGCUCCCGUGUGGUGCGUGUGUGUCUGUGUGUGUGCAUGCGUACACAUACACACACAUUCAGCAGCACAUUUGUCCACAUGUGCAUGGGAGCAUGCGUGCACACACAGGAGCACAUGUGCACGCACACACAGGAGCUUGUGUGUACACACACAGGAGCACAGGUAUGUGCACACACGUGGGAGAACACACACACACAGUGCUGGAACACCAUCACCAGCAUGCUGUCAGCUCCCCCCUGUUGGAAGGCGCUGCCCGAGUUGUCCCAUACCUCCCCCAUCAGCACACUUCGAGAAGCGGGUCCUGACCAGCUCCAGUCCAUUGCGGGAAGCAGCCCUCAGACACGGGGACAGCUGCGGGCUCAUGGUCCUGAGAACCUGGCUCUCCUGCCACUGGGAGGGCUCACGGAGGACGCCUGGAACCCCCUCCGUCACCUCUUCAGACAGUCAGGAGCCUGCUUUCCCCAAAACUGGAAGGUUGGAGCCAUAGGAAAUGUCCCCAUCAUAUCAGAAAACUGAGGACUCUGCAGAAUGUUCUGGAACCUUCAGUGAGUGGGAGCUGCUGAUGCUGGUGACGGAGACUGGACAGGCUGUGAGGGGAGCAUGGGGACCUAGAGAAGCUUUGGGGACACAUCGGCACAUUUACAAUUUGUGCCUAAAUUUGCUCCUCCUUGGAGACCUGGCCAGGCUCAGAGCGAUCAACAGACAGGACGCCUGUCGCCAGUCAGUCAAUCGCUUGAUCGCUGGAUGAGUCAGUGGAUCAAUGCGCCGACUGCCCUCUGAACCGAGGGUGUGUUUCCUGGGACGGGAAGAUGGUGAGGAGGCCCGACGCGCCCUGUGCGCUCAGCGCCCUGCUCCCCCAGCCAGCGGCGGCCUGGAAUGGGUGACCCCGGACCGAGGUCAGAUGGCCUGCACUGCGUGGGAUCCCUGUGGUCUAUUUCCAGCUCCGGCCUCUGGCCCUGCACACACAGGGGCAUUGAAGGAAGCUGCUUGUAGCAUGAGACAUCCGCCCUGUGGCCCUUCCUGCAGCUGUGUCCUCACUAAGGGAAGGUGACCGAGCCCAGAGUGGGAGGGGUCGGAGGGCCCAGCUGUGAGUGUGGACCAGGCUGAGGCCUCAUCACCAGCCAGGAGGCUCCCUGGAGACCCUGGGGCCAGAAUGACCUCCCUCUACAACCUCCCCUGGCUCCCCAUUGCUGUGCAGGGGAGUCCAUGCUCCUCACCCAAGGUCCCCAUCAUAACCUCCAUCAGACGCGCCCCCACUCCUCCUGGGCUUGACCCUUGACCCCCACCCUCUGUCUCU
Long non-coding RNA from Equus caballus (horse), 2643 nucleotides. The record is from Ensembl. Lineage: Eukaryota; Metazoa; Chordata; Mammalia; Perissodactyla; Equidae.